GAGGGUGUAGCUCAAGUGGUAGAGCACAUGCUUAGCAUGAAGGAGGCUCUGGGUUCAAUCCCCAGUACCUCCA
This 73-nucleotide transfer RNA is filed under the name Camelus bactrianus (Bactrian camel). It matches the Rfam family "tRNA". From Rfam's summary of the family: Transfer RNA (tRNA) molecules are approximately 80 nucleotides in length. Their secondary structure includes four short double-helical elements and three loops (D, anti-codon, and T loops). RNAcentral also lists the same sequence under 3 other names. The record is from Rfam by way of RNAcentral. Lineage: Eukaryota; Metazoa; Chordata; Mammalia; Artiodactyla; Camelidae.